AUUGAACGCUGGCGGCAUGCCUUACACAUGCAAGUCGAACGGUAACGGGCCUUCGGGUGCCGUCGAGUGGCGCACGGGUGAGUAAUACAUCGGAACGUGCCCGAUCGUGGGGGAUAACGAGGCGAAAGCUUUGCUAAUACCGCAUACGAUCUACGGAUGAAAGCAGGGGACCGCAAGGCCUUGCGCGGACGGAGCGGCCGAUGGCAGAUUAGGUAGUUGGUGGGAUAAAAGCUUACCAAGCCGACGAUCUGUAGCUGGUCUGAGAGGAUGAUCAGCCACACUGGGACUGAGACACGGCCCAGACUCCUACGGGAGGCAGCAGUGGGGAAUUUUGGACAAUGGGCGCAAGCCUGAUCCAGCCAUGCCGCGUGCAGGAUGAAGGCCUUCGGGUUGUAAACUGCUUUUGUACGGAACGAAAAGCCUUCUUUUAAUACAGGAGGGUCAUGACGGUACCGUAAGAAUAAGCACCGGCUAACUACGUG
Molecule: ribosomal RNA, 482 nt
Filed under: uncultured bacterium
Lineage: Bacteria
Description: partial 16S ribosomal RNA
Rfam family: Bacterial small subunit ribosomal RNA
Source: RNAcentral